AUGUUCUGUUAAUCCCUUGGCUUAGGUAGUUCUAGAAUCUAUUCUGUUUUUCUUCUAACUGUACUUUUCAACCCAGCUGUUAUGAACGUCACCUCCUCCUGUUACUAUUAAUAUAUUUCUACAGAUAUUUAGAGCCCCUUCACCUCAUACCUUAUUUGUCUCUCUUUUACAGCCCUUUACUUUCCCAAGUCAGUAAAUUUGCGUCAAGCUUCCCUUUGCCUUGGGGGCAAAUGUCCAAAAUGCUGCCAGGGGUUACAUGGUAGCUCUAUGUUUAGUUUCUUAAGGAACUUCCAUACUCUUCUCCAUAGUGGCUGCACCAAUUUACAUUCCCACUAACAGUGCAUGAGGGUUCCCUUUUCUCCACACCCUCUCCAGCAUUUAUUGUUCGUAGACUUUUUGACAAUGGCCCCACUGACUGGCGUGAGAUGAUACUUGUAGUUUUGAUUUGCAUUUCCUUAAUGCUGAGCGAUGUUGAGCAUAUUUUCAUGUGCCUUUUGGCCAUCUGUAUGCCUUCUUUGGAGAAAUGUUUAUUUAGGUCUUCUGCCCAUUUAUUGAUUGGGUGGGGUUUUUUUAUAUUGAGUCCCAUGGGCUAUUUGUAAAUUUUGGAGACUAAUCCCUUAUCAGUAGCAUCAUUUGCAAUUUUUUCCUCCCAUUCUGUGGGCUGGCUCUUCAUUUUGUUUAUGGUUUCCUUUGCUGUGCCAAAAUUAGAUCCCAUUUGUUUGUUUUAUUUCCAUUACUCUAGGAGACAAACCAAAAAAAGAUAUAUUGUUGCAAUUUAUGUCAAAGGCAAAACAUUCUGCCUAUGUUUUCCUCUAAGAAUUGCAUGAUAUCUGGUCUUACAUUUAGGUCUUUAAUCCAUUUUGUUUUUGUGUACAGUGUUAAGAAAUGUUCUAAUUUUUUUUACAUGUAGCUGUCCAGUUUUCCCAGCAGCGUUUAUUGAAGAGAUUGUAUUUCCUCCAAUGUAUAUUCUUGCCUCCUUUGCCACAAACUGACCACAGGAACCUGGGUUUACUGCUGGGCUUUCUAUCCUGUUCAGGUGAGCUCUAUUUUUGUGUUUGGGCCGAUAUCAUUCUGUUGCUUUACAAUGUAGUCUGAAGUCAGGGAGCUUGAUUCCUCCAACUGUUUUUCUUUCUGAAGACUGCUUUGACUAUUCAAGGUUGGUUGUGUCUUCAUAAACAUUUUAAGAUUUUUUUGUUCUGGUUCUAUGAAAAAUACCAUUGGCAAUUUGAUAAAGAUUGUAUUGAAUCUGUAAUUGCCUUGAGUAGUAUAGUCAUUUUGAUAAUAUUGAUUCUUUCAGUCCAGGAACAUGGUUUCUAUUUCCAUCUGUACUUGUCAUCUUUGGUUUCUUUCAUCAGCAUCUUAUAGUUUUCAGAGUACAGUUCUUUUGCCCUUAUUAGGUAGGCUGAUUCCUAGGUAUUUUGUUCUUUUCAAUGCAACAGUAAAUGGAUUGUUUAAUUUCUCCUUAUUAUCUUUUUUUGUUAGUGUAUAGAAAUGCAACAGAUUUCUGUGUAUGAAUUUUGUAUCUUGCAACUUUACCAAAUUCAGUGAUGAGCUUUACUACUUCUCUGGUAGCAUCUUUAGGAUUUUCUGUGUAUGAUAUCAUGUCAUUCACAAGCAGUAACAGUUUUACUUCUUCUAUGCGGUUGCUGGAAUGUAAGUUGGUACAGCCACUAUGGAGAAUGUAUGGAUAUUCCUUAAGAAACUAAAAAUAGAGCUACUAUAUGAUCUUGCAAGUCCACUCCUGGGCAUAUAUCUAGAGAAAACCAUAUCUGAAAUGUUCAUGCACCCCAAUGUUCAUUGUAGUGCUAUUUAUAGUAGCUAAGACAUGGAAGCAACCUAAAAUCUGUCAACAGAUGAAUGGAUAGAGAAGAUAUGGUAUAUUUAUACAAUGAAAUAUUAGUCAUUAAAAAGAAUGAAAUAAUGCCAUUUUCAGCAACAUGGAUGGAAUCUAGAGAUUAUCAUACUAAGUGAAGUUAGAGAAAGACAAAUAUGAUAUCACUAUAUGAAGAAUCUUAAAAAAUGAUACAAAUGAACUUAUUUACAAACUGAAACAGACUCACAGACUUAGAAUAUUUAACAAUAGCUUUAAGUUCAUUCUCUAAUUAUGUUGACAUUAUUUAAAAUGGAACUCUCUUCUUAAAUUCCUUUUGAGGGUAUUCCUUGGUAGUUUAUAAAACUAAAAGAUUUUGUGUACUAAUAUUUUGUAUUGUAAAUUUGUGUAUUUGAUAACUAGCUGAAGUUAUGCUUUAAAUUUAUAUGCGUGCUAAAUUGCUUCAGUCGUGUCCAACUCUUUGCAACCCCAUGAUUGCAGCCUGCCAGGCUCUUUGGUCCAUAGGAUUUUCCCAGGCAAGAAUACUGAAGUGGGCUGCCAUUUCCUUCUACAGAGGAUCUUCCCCACCCAGGAAUUGAACCUGAGUCACUUACGUCUCCUGCACUGGCAUUGAAAGGCAGAGGACAUGAUUCCAAGAGCAAAGAAUCAACCCCUCAAGUACCCAUCAGUGCUGCAACAUACCUGAUCACUCAGAGUUGGGAAUAAAUCCACCUUCAAAAAUCUGAAUGCCACCACAGGCAUAACUGAAGCCACUGUUGUUAAGAGAAUAACAAGCCAGAUGCACUUCUGGGUCAAGGAAUGUCGUGCAUUUCCUAUUAUUAAAGAAAAAUAAACACUGUGGUUAUAAAUCGGA
This is a long non-coding RNA of Dama dama (fallow deer), 2684 nucleotides long. RefSeq lists it as uncharacterized. Lineage: Eukaryota; Metazoa; Chordata; Mammalia; Artiodactyla; Cervidae. The transcript has 2 exons. The record is from RefSeq and is a predicted model, not a curated record.